Molecule: ribosomal RNA, 250 nt
Filed under: uncultured bacterium
Lineage: Bacteria
Description: partial 16S ribosomal RNA
Rfam family: Bacterial small subunit ribosomal RNA
Source: RNAcentral
UACAGAGGGUGCAAACGUUGCUCGGAGUUACUGGGCGUAAAGCGCGUGUAGGCGGUGCCGCACGUCCGGUGUGAAAGCCCGGGGCUCAACCCCGGAAGUGCACUGGAUACGACGGCGCUGGAGUCCUGAAGAGGAGGGCGGAAUUCCCGGUGUAGAGGUGAAAUUCGUAGAUAUCGGGAGGAACACCAGUGGCGAAGGCGGCUCUCUGGACAGGUACUGACGCUGAGACGCGAAAGCGUGGGUAGCAAAC